CAUGACUGGUCUGAUGCACUCGCUGAUGCUGGUGCCGUACGAAGUCGUUUGGAUCGUGGUGGAGGCUGGUGGAGCUAGCAAUGAGACCGAUUCGAUCCUCGCCAAGUCGGGACUCCAGACCAUUCACGUUGGAUUCAAGCAGCGGAUGCCGAAUUCUUGGGAGGGUCGUCAUCGAUUGGAGGGUCGGAUGAGGCUUCGUGCAUUGAGGAAAAUGGGUAUUCUCGAGACAUUCUGACUACGGUGCACAGAAGUAGAGCUGACUAUCCACAGCCUGAGGUUUAAAGUUGUUGAACCCUUGUGCAAUCUUAUUUUCGCCACAUGUUGACUUUGGAUUAAAAGUACUUGGUGCAAAUGCUAUGUCCAUUCCUGGCCUAUAUGGGUUUGUCCAGGUAGAGUACUCGUUUAAGUUUCGUUGAUUGAGGCUUAGUUGAAUAAACACAUAAAUACAUGCAUCCAUCUUAUAGAAAAACAUAAUUUUCUGAGAGUACAUAUUAAUCCUAAUAUAGUAACUAAAUGAAUAUUGCUUGCAGUUUUUACUUAUCUUUUUUUUAUUUUU
Humulus lupulus (European hop) is the source of this 556-nucleotide long non-coding RNA. RefSeq lists it as uncharacterized. The record is from RefSeq and is a predicted model, not a curated record. NCBI's taxonomy places the organism in Eukaryota, Viridiplantae, Streptophyta, Magnoliopsida, Rosales, Cannabaceae. The transcript has 3 exons.